RNAcentral lists this ribosomal RNA (741 nucleotides) under Rothia mucilaginosa. RNAcentral's name for it is "bacterial SSU rRNA". It matches the Rfam family "Bacterial small subunit ribosomal RNA", at positions 28 to 776 of the family's 1533-position model. The record is from RNAcentral. Lineage: Bacteria; Bacillati; Actinomycetota; Actinomycetes; Micrococcales; Micrococcaceae.
GACGAACGCUGGCGGCGUGCUUAACACAUGCAAGUCGAACGAUGAAGCCUAGCUUGCUAGGUGGAUUAGUGGCGAACGGGUGAGUAAUACGUGAGUAACCUACCUUUAACUCUGGGAUAAGCCUGGGAAACUGGGUCUAAUACCGGAUACGACCAAUCUCCGCAUGGGGUGUUGGUGGAAAGCGUUAUGUAGUGGUUAUAGAUGGGCUCACGGCCUAUCAGCUUGUUGGUGAGGUAACGGCUCACCAAGGCGACGACGGGUAGCCGGCCUGAGAGGGUGACCGGCCACACUGGGACUGAGACACGGCCCAGACUCCUACGGGAGGCAGCAGUGGGGAAUAUUGCACAAUGGGCGCAAGCCUGAUGCAGCGACGCCGCGUGAGGGAUGACGGCCUUCGGGUUGUAAACCUCUGUUAGCAGGGAAGAAGAGAAAUUGACGGUACCUGCAGAGAAAGCGCCGGCUAACUACGUGCCAGCAGCCGCGGUAAUACGUAGGGCGCGAGCGUUGUCCGGAAUUAUUGGGCGUAAAGAGCUUGUAGGCGGUUUGUCGCGUCUGCUGUGAAAGGCCGGGGCUUAACCCCGUGUAUUGCAGUGGGUACGGGCAGACUAGAGUGCAGUAGGGGAGACUGGAACUCCUGGUGUAGCGGUGGAAUGCGCAGAUAUCAGGAAGAACACCGAUGGCGAAGGCAGGUCUCUGGGCUAUAACUGACGCUGAGAAGCGAAAGCAUGGGGAGCGAACAGG